Molecule: long non-coding RNA, 2471 nt
Filed under: Homo sapiens (human)
Lineage: Eukaryota; Metazoa; Chordata; Mammalia; Primates; Hominidae
Description: HSALNT0237676
Source: RNAcentral
GUGAGGUCGCUUCUUUACGGUUCUGUCCCCUAGGCCCCUUCCUUCCAUAAGACCUACUCAGGACUCCACUGGGCUGCUGACUACUCACCCUCCCCUCAGGUCAUCUCCUGACCCGUACACAGUUAUGUCCACCCAGGGUCUGCUUGGACACCUGUGCCUGAUGUUCACCAGGGGCCAGAUGUCGUCCUCAGGCCUGAUGUCCACCUAGGGCCUGAUGACUGCCUUGGCCUAUGUCCCUCUGGGGGCCUUGUGUUCACCUGGGGACUGUAUCCAGCUGGGGCCUGAUGGCCUACUGGGUCUUGUUGUUCACCUAAGGCCUUGUGUCCACCUGGGGACUGGUGAUCACCUGGGGCCUGGGUGUCCACCUGAGGCCAGAGGUGCACCUAAGGCCUGAGUUUUCACCUGGGCCUGAUGAUCACCUGGGGACUGGGUGUGUGCCUUGGGUCUUUUCCCUUUUCCUGAACAGGGCUUGCAGUUUCCAAACCAGACACAAUCUCCCAGUUGGAGAAAGAAAAAGGAUCCUAGAUGAUAGUGAGACAAAUUUCAGGAAACUCCAUCCAAAUAAGUAAAUGAGAAUGAGGACAGGAUUCAUUGCAUGGUGGCAUGUGCCUGCAGUCCCAGCUACUCAAGAGGCUGAGGUGGGAGGAUCGCUUGAACUCAGGAGUUGAAGGCUGCAGUGGGUGAGGAUCACAACACUGAAUUCCAGCUGAGGUGACAGAAUGAGACCCUGUCUCUCUAAAAAACAAGCAAGCAAACAAACCAAAAACCACAGACAAACCAGACCCCUCUUAGCAGAAUACUUCCAUGAGGUAAUAAAAGGUUUAAUUUAUUUCAGAAGUUUCUAGAUUUUAUUGUCUCUAUUUAGCCAAAGCCACAAGAAAAGUCAAAUUCAUAUCUUUAAAUGCUUUCAUUAUCAAUCAAGAAAGAAGAAAGUGAAACGAACAAACAAUUUUACUCAAGAAACUAGUGAGAAAUCAAAGAAAUGUCCAAGAAGUAGGAGACAAGAAUUAAUCAAAACAGAUUAACAGUGGAAUAAAUAAAUGAAUCCAACUGGUUCUUUGUAAUGGAAUGUAGAAAGACAUACUCUAUUCUUCUGGAUAGGAAGAUGAAAUAUCAUAAUCAUAUCAAUGCAAGUUUUAUGCAUGCUCAAACAUGUAUAAACUAAGAAAAAAUCUGAAAGGACAGACAGCAAAAUGUUUGCAGUUUUUUUCCUCCAAGUGGUAAGAUUAAAGUCCAUGAAAUAAGGUGGGGAAGAUGUUUUGAACCUCUCUCAGCAGCAGAUCCCUAAAUCACAGACCCAGAACUUGGAGGAAACAGGAAACAGGAGGCCAUCUCUGCACCUCUCCAGCACUGCUCUGGUUGGUGGGCAGAAUAUCAUACAAUCAUCACGAUUCUUAUAUCAAAAACCAAAUUCUAGACUGAUUAAAUAAUUAUUUUUUUAAAUGAGAAAAGUUAUCGUUUAUUUGAUCUUGGGCUAGGGAAGAUAUUUCCAAGCAAAAAGGGUAAAAAGAAGGAAAAAGAAAUGAUUAACAGAUUGGAAGGCAAUAACAAUAUAAUAUCAAGUGCUGGCAAGAGCUCAGAGAAGUGUGUGUUCUCAUGACUGCUGGAACAAAUUGGUAUAAUAUUUCUGAAGGGCAAUCUGGCUGAAUAUGUUAGAAGUCUUUAAAAUAUUUAUACUCUGACUCAGUAAUUCAACAUCUAGAAAUUUUUCCUAAGUAAGUAAUAAGAAAGAGUUGAAAAAAGUAUUUGAAUAUUGAAAGACUGGAAAGAACAUAAAGGUUCAAUAAUACAUAUAUGUUCAACAACAGGGGACUAGUAAAUAUGAAUUAUUUAUAUGAUAAAAUACUAUCUAACCUUAAAAUAAUGUUUUAAAUAAUAUUUAAUGAUGAGAAUAUGCUGAGAAAAGUUUAAUCAUUUUAAAAAAGUUACAUGCAAAAUUAAAGUUAAUAACAUGUACAAGAUUAUUCUAAUUUUUUUUUUUUUUGAGAUGCAGUCUCACUGUUGUCACCUGGGCUGGAGUGCAAUGGAGUGAUCUCGGCUCACUGCAGCCUCCACCUCCCAGGUUCCAGCAAUUCUCCUGCCUCAGUCUCCUGAGCAGCUGAGAUUGUAGGCACCCGCCACCAUGCCCGGCUAAUUUUUGCAUUUUUAGUAGACACGGGGUUUCACCAUGUUGGUCAGGCUGGUCUCGAAUGCUGGCCUUGCUGGGGUGCCGUGGAGUGGGGCCCCGCCCUGGUGAGUUGUUCACUGGGACCACCUUUCUGGAAUGCUGGAAGGCGGCGUGGCAGGACCCACCGAAUGCCUUCAAAAGCCAGUGGUCCAUGCCUCUGUCUCCUUCGUUAGACUCUUCCAGAAGAGACUGGUCAGAGGUGCAGCACAGAUGAACCUACAAAGCUGUUCAUCAAAGCAUCACUUACAAUGGUGAAAAGGCAGAAGAAUCACUGAAUUCCACCAAGGUGGAGCAGCCGAGGAAA